Molecule: long non-coding RNA, 349 nt
Filed under: Androctonus crassicauda
Lineage: Eukaryota; Metazoa; Arthropoda; Arachnida; Scorpiones; Buthidae
Source: RNAcentral
AAUAAAGCUAUGUAUCUCAACCUUUUUGAAAUUGGUUGUUUUUACAUUUAUUUUCAUGUAUUAAAAGCAGUUUUAUUAGAAGUUACUCUUGUCUUCUUGAAAUGAUUAAAACAGAUGUGUUCGUACGUAAUUAUUUGAGAUGUGCCUUAUACCAGUGGUCUCAAACUCAAAUUGCAUGCAGGCCAAAUGUGCAAUUCCAAAGGAAAUGAAAGGCCAAAUAUUUUUAAACAAAAUUACAAUGAAAGGAAAAUAUUUUACUGAUACAGUGGUUAUUGAUAACACAUGCAGGUUGAGUACAGUAUGCUUUAAAACUUUAUGUUAUUUUAUUAGCAUUAAAUUGUAAUAAGAG